UACGAAGGGGGCUAGCGUUGUUCGGAAUUACUGGGCGUAAAGCGCACGUAGGCGGAUACUUAAGUUAGGGGUGAAAUCCCGGGGCUCAACCCCGGAACUGCCUUUAAUACUGGGUAUCUUGAGUUCGAGAGAGGUGAGUGGAAUUCCGAGUGUAGAGGUGAAAUUCGUAGAUAUUCGGAGGAACACCAGUGGCGAAGGCGGCUCACUGGCUCGAUACUGACGCUGAGGUGCGAAAGCGUGGGGAGCAAACAGG
RNAcentral lists this ribosomal RNA (253 nucleotides) under uncultured bacterium. RNAcentral's name for it is "partial 16S ribosomal RNA". It matches the Rfam family "Bacterial small subunit ribosomal RNA", at positions 524 to 776 of the family's 1533-position model. The record is from RNAcentral.